GCCUGGCUAGCUCAAUCGGUAGAGCGUGAGACUCUUAUAAUCUCAAGGCUGUGGGUUCAAGCCCCACGUCGGGCU
This 75-nucleotide transfer RNA is filed under the name Yarrowia lipolytica CLIB122. Its description in RNAcentral is "tRNA YALI0_F13893r". It matches the Rfam family "tRNA". Rfam says of the family: Transfer RNA (tRNA) molecules are approximately 80 nucleotides in length. Their secondary structure includes four short double-helical elements and three loops (D, anti-codon, and T loops). The record is from RNAcentral. Lineage: Eukaryota; Fungi; Ascomycota; Dipodascomycetes; Dipodascales.